This is a non-coding RNA of Malus domestica (apple), 868 nucleotides long. The record is from RefSeq and is a predicted model, not a curated record. NCBI's taxonomy places the organism in Eukaryota, Viridiplantae, Streptophyta, Magnoliopsida, Rosales, Rosaceae.
AUUCAAGUGAAAAAGUUAGAGUUUCACACAAGUUUCGACUUCCCUUCUUCAAAGAGGUUGUUACUCAUGUAUCUAGAUUUGCAUUGAAUGAGUUAUAUAAUCAAUAUGAAGCAUCAAGUUCUUCUGAUCUUCCAUGUCAAUGUAAGGGUCAUUUUCUCAAGACAAUGGGUCUUCCUUGUGCUCACAUGAUUAGAGAGAUGAAUAUUGAAGUCUUGCAACUAAAUGACAUACAUCCACAAUGGAGGAUUGAUAGAAGAUUGUUUGUCAAUGAUCAUCAUGUAAGCUUGGACAAUGAACAAGAUCAAAUAAGCGGCCUUCUAUUGGAGUUUAAAGAUAAGUAUGAAAAGUUGACUCUUACUCAAAAAGAGGAUACCAAAAGGCAACUUUGUGAAUUUAUUGAUACUUCUCUUCCAUUAACUCUUGAGCCUAAUGUUAAACCUCACAAAGGUCGUCCAAUGGGUUCUAAAAAUAGAAAAGAAUCAAGCUCUACAAAGCAUGGUCCUUCAAAGUUUGAAAUAGUGGAGAAGGCUCAGAAACGUGCUCGACGGGUGUGAUGAGCAUAAUGAUUUGCCAAAGAAACUUUUUGUUAAUAAUAGCUUAGAUGUGUAAAGAACACAUUAAGGUUGGAGUGCAUGGGUUUCAUAUCUUUUUGGUAAUAUUGACAUCUCCUUUUGAACACAAGAUUAAAGGCCAAACAUAGUGUAGGCAGAAUGUGAAAGCUUGUAAUGAUAUCUGAUGUAUUUUUUGGGGCAUGAGGCUACUAUUAUGGGGAUUCAAGUGUAUGUGGAUUGCUUACUAGUAUUUUGUACAAUUCAUGUAACUUAUGCAUAUAUGCUAUAUCAUUAGGUAAUCGUUUUAUUUUUAUUUA